UGCCAGCAGCCGCGGUAAUACGGAGGGGGUUAGCGUUGUUCGGAAUUACUGGGCGUAAAGCGCACGUAGGCGGAUUAGUAAGUUAGGGGUGAAAUCCCGGGGCUCAACCCCGGAACUGCCUCUAAUACUGCUAGUCUUGAGUUCGAGAGAGGUGAGUGGAAUUCCGAGUGUAGAGGUGAAAUUCGUAGAUAUUCGGAGGAACACCAGUGGCGAAGGCGGCUCUCUGAGCCGAUAUUGACGCUGAGGCGCGAAGGCGUGGGUAGCGAACGGGAUUAGAUA
This 279-nucleotide ribosomal RNA is filed under the name uncultured bacterium. RNAcentral describes it as "partial 16S ribosomal RNA". It matches the Rfam family "Bacterial small subunit ribosomal RNA", at positions 506 to 784 of the family's 1533-position model. The record is from RNAcentral.